AUGCGAAGGUCCCCUGCAGAGAGGAAAGGGCUCCAAAACGAGACCUCCCUAACACUUGCGACCUUCGCAAAGCUAAUCGGCCGAAUCGUUGGAUGCGCCAAUCAUCAUGGUUUUGGUGCGUCUACAUUAUUCGGCUAUAGUACA
Molecule: small nucleolar RNA, 144 nt
Organism: Diospyros lotus (date-plum)
Lineage: Eukaryota; Viridiplantae; Streptophyta; Magnoliopsida; Ericales; Ebenaceae
Product: small nucleolar RNA snoR145
Exons: 1
Source: RefSeq, a predicted model, not a curated record